RNAcentral lists this long non-coding RNA (752 nucleotides) under Fukomys damarensis (Damara mole-rat). RNAcentral describes it as "lncRNA (ENSFDAG00000029564.1)". The record is from RNAcentral. Lineage: Eukaryota; Metazoa; Chordata; Mammalia; Rodentia; Bathyergidae.
AUUUUUGCUUUCUUUUCUUUUGUUUUGUUUUUUGAGGUACCGGGGAUCGAACUCAGGACCUUGCGCUUGUGAGGCAGGCGUGGUGCCCACUGAGCUCCAUCCCGGCCCUCCCUAAGAUCGCUCCUUCGUCUCCGCUUGUCCUUCUGUGUUGUCUUCCAUUUCAAAGUCCUUUCUUGGUCACCACGAUCGCCGGAGGCCAGAUGCUCCAGGAGAAAAGCAGAAGUGCCUAGGAGGCCCCUGGCUGUUACUGGUGCUCCCUAAGAAGCCUCCUCGAAGUCCCUACCAGCCCACUCUGCGUGUGCCCCGGUGGCAAGAUCUUCAUCACAAGCUACACCAAGGCGCCGGCCGUAAUCUGACUGAGCCUGCCUUUCCUCCUUGAGCAGAAGAUGAUCUGCAAUCCUCAGUGUUGUUACGAGGGUCAGAUGAGGUCAUGUGUGUGUGCACGCCCCAGGUUCUGCUUAGCAAAUAGCCAAAAGUUGAUUCCUUUCUGAUAGAAUUCUCCACCGGACAGAGUGGCCCCAAUGGUCCUACAUUCUACAAGGGCUCCGUGGUUCCUACUUGGGAUGGGGGUGAACGCUGUGCUCUCUGGAGAAGCAAAACCUAACUAGCUGCUCUAUCCUGCUUACCCACGUGAUCGUCCCCAUCCAAUCACCCUGCGACCCAUUGCUCCGCUCUCACUAUACCUCCCCACCGCACCGCCCUAUAUAAGCUGUACCCGGUUGGUCUUUCCCUCUCUCGUCGCUGUUCGGGGC